RNAcentral lists this ribosomal RNA (2919 nucleotides) under Staphylococcus aureus. RNAcentral describes it as "23S ribosomal RNA". It matches the Rfam family "Bacterial large subunit ribosomal RNA". The record is from RNAcentral. Lineage: Bacteria; Bacillati; Bacillota; Bacilli; Caryophanales; Staphylococcaceae.
UUAAGUUAUUAAGGGCGCACGGUGGAUGCCUUGGCACUAGAAGCCGAUGAAGGACGUUACUAACGACGAUAUGCUUUGGGGAGCUGUAAGUAAGCUUUGAUCCAGAGAUUUCCGAAUGGGGAAACCCAGCAUGAGUUAUGUCAUGUUAUCGAUAUAUGAAUACAUAGCAUAUCAGAAGGCACACCCGGAGAACUGAAACAUCUUAGUACCCGGAGGAAGAGAAAGAAAAUUCGAUUCCCUUAGUAGCGGCGAGCGAAACGGGAAGAGCCCAAACCAACAAGCUUGCUUGUUGGGGUUGUAGGACACUCUAUACGGAGUUACAAAGGACGACAUUAGACGAAUCAUCUGGAAAGAUGAAUCAAAGAAGGUAAUAAUCCUGUAGUCGAAAAUGUUGUCUCUCUUGAGUGGAUCCUGAGUACGACGGAGCACGUGAAAUUCCGUCGGAAUCUGGGAGGACCAUCUCCUAAGGCUAAAUACUCUCUAGUGACCGAUAGUGAACCAGUACCGUGAGGGAAAGGUGAAAAGCACCCCGGAAGGGGAGUGAAAUAGAACCUGAAACCGUGUGCUUACAAGUAGUCAGAGCCCGUUAAUGGGUGAUGGCGUGCCUUUUGUAGAAUGAACCGGCGAGUUACGAUUUGAUGCAAGGUUAAGCAGUAAAUGUGGAGCCGUAGCGAAAGCGAGUCUGAAUAGGGCGUUUAGUAUUUGGUCGUAGACCCGAAACCAGGUGAUCUACCCUUGGUCAGGUUGAAGUUCAGGUAACACUGAAUGGAGGACCGAACCGACUUACGUUGAAAAGUGAGCGGAUGAACUGAGGGUAGCGGAGAAAUUCCAAUCGAACCUGGAGAUAGCUGGUUCUCUCCGAAAUAGCUUUAGGGCUAGCCUCAAGUGAUGAUUAUUGGAGGUAGAGCACUGUUUGGACGAGGGGCCCCUCUCGGGUUACCGAAUUCAGACAAACUCCGAAUGCCAAUUAAUUUAACUUGGGAGUCAGAACAUGGGUGAUAAGGUCCGUGUUCGAAAGGGAAACAGCCCAGACCACCAGCUAAGGUCCCAAAAUAUAUGUUAAGUGGAAAAGGAUGUGGCGUUGCCCAGACAACUAGGAUGUUGGCUUAGAAGCAGCCAUCAUUUAAAGAGUGCGUAAUAGCUCACUAGUCGAGUGACACUGCGCCGAAAAUGUACCGGGGCUAAACAUAUUACCGAAGCUGUGGAUUGUCCUUUGGACAAUGGUAGGAGAGCGUUCUAAGGGCGUUGAAGCAUGAUCGUAAGGACAUGUGGAGCGCUUAGAAGUGAGAAUGCCGGUGUGAGUAGCGAAAGACGGGUGAGAAUCCCGUCCACCGAUUGACUAAGGUUUCCAGAGGAAGGCUCGUCCGCUCUGGGUUAGUCGGGUCCUAAGCUGAGGCCGACAGGCGUAGGCGAUGGAUAACAGGUUGAUAUUCCUGUACCACCUAUAAUCGUUUUAAUCGAUGGGGGGACGCAGUAGGAUAGGCGAAGCGUGCGAUUGGAUUGCACGUCUAAGCAGUAAGGCUGAGUAUUAGGCAAAUCCGGUACUCAUUAAGGCUGAGCUGUGAUGGGGAGAAGACAUUGUGUCUUCGAGUCGUUGAUUUCACACUGCCGAGAAAAGCCUCUAGAUAGAAAAUAGGUGCCCGUACCGCAAACCGACACAGGUAGUCAAGAUGAGAAUUCUAAGGUGAGCGAGCGAACUCUCGUUAAGGAACUCGGCAAAAUGACCCCGUAACUUCGGGAGAAGGGGUGCUCUUUAGGGUUAACGCCCAGAAGAGCCGCAGUGAAUAGGCCCAAGCGACUGUUUAUCAAAAACACAGGUCUCUGCUAAACCGUAAGGUGAUGUAUAGGGGCUGACGCCUGCCCGGUGCUGGAAGGUUAAGAGGAGUGGUUAGCUUCUGCGAAGCUACGAAUCGAAGCCCCAGUAAACGGCGGCCGUAACUAUAACGGUCCUAAGGUAGCGAAAUUCCUUGUCGGGUAAGUUCCGACCCGCACGAAAGGCGUAACGAUUUGGGCACUGUCUCAACGAGAGACUCGGUGAAAUCAUAGUACCUGUGAAGAUGCAGGUUACCCGCGACAGGACGGAAAGACCCCGUGGAGCUUUACUGUAGCCUGAUAUUGAAAUUCGGCACAGCUUGUACAGGAUAGGUAGGAGCCUUUGAAACGUGAGCGCUAGCUUACGUGGAGGCGCUGGUGGGAUACUACCCUAGCUGUGUUGGCUUUCUAACCCGCACCACUUAUCGUGGUGGGAGACAGUGUCAGGCGGGCAGUUUGACUGGGGCGGUCGCCUCCUAAAAGGUAACGGAGGCGCUCAAAGGUUCCCUCAGAAUGGUUGGAAAUCAUUCAUAGAGUGUAAAGGCAUAAGGGAGCUUGACUGCGAGACCUACAAGUCGAGCAGGGUCGAAAGACGGACUUAGUGAUCCGGUGGUUCCGCAUGGAAGGGCCAUCGCUCAACGGAUAAAAGCUACCCCGGGGAUAACAGGCUUAUCUCCCCCAAGAGUUCACAUCGACGGGGAGGUUUGGCACCUCGAUGUCGGCUCAUCGCAUCCUGGGGCUGUAGUCGGUCCCAAGGGUUGGGCUGUUCGCCCAUUAAAGCGGUACGCGAGCUGGGUUCAGAACGUCGUGAGACAGUUCGGUCCCUAUCCGUCGUGGGCGUAGGAAAUUUGAGAGGAGCUGUCCUUAGUACGAGAGGACCGGGAUGGACAUACCUCUGGUGUACCAGUUGUCGUGCCAACGGCAUAGCUGGGUAGCUAUGUGUGGACGGGAUAAGUGCUGAAAGCAUCUAAGCAUGAAGCCCCCCUCAAGAUGAGAUUUCCCAACUUCGGUUAUAAGAUCCCUCAAAGAUGAUGAGGUUAAUAGGUUCGAGGUGGAAGCAUGGUGACAUGUGGAGCUGACGAAUACUAAUCGAUCGAAGACUUAAUC